UUGUAGAUGUCGAUUGUGUGUUUUAAAGGGGACAAUUCUAUGGGUGUCUAACAGUUAAUAUAGUUGGCAACUUUAAUGUCGCGUCGUGCAAUUAAAUGUUUUAUAAGUUUAGGUGCAGCAAGACAGUGAAAGAAAAAUACAGUUUUUAGGUGCAUUACGCCGGCUUGUUAAAUGUAGUGCACGUGGCUUUCUUGCUUUUUACUUUCAGAUUGGUCUACAGAACAUGCAACGUGUAUACCUGCCAGGACAUACUCAUCGGUCCAGAACGAUGGUUUUCUUGAAGGAUUGUUGUGGGUGAUUCGGCCUUAUCUCGGUACGUGACUGUCAUAAUGCCUUUAAGGGAGGACAUUUGCAUUAUGAAGAUUUGUGCAAUACCUGUGAAGAGAGAUACAUUGGAUGGGAUGCUGUUGGCUCCUCAACCAAACGAAGUUCACUGCUAAAAGGAGGAAGAUGUUUUUGAAUAACCUUAAUUGCGAUUCAUACAUGUUUAGCUGGCACAAUGAGCUGUCAAAUCUGGACCUAAAUCCAUGGAACAUGUAGAGCUGUCAUCUGGGAAUGCAGAUUUAUCACAGGAUACUGGAUACUCACUGUGGCAGGACUGAUCACAUAGGGCCUGGCAAACCCUGGACCAGGAUGAUUCCACGACUAGGAAUGUAAACUACUGUUGCUAGAAAGUGCCUGCAGCAGCUAAAAGCAAGAAGCAGUGUUUAAGAAUCGACUGCAGAAUGGCUGACCAGAAUAUUCAAAUAGCACAGUAAUGUUUAUAACUUCUGAAGUGGAAACUUGUUUAUGUGCUUAGUUUUAUCUGCUUGAGGGGGACACCAUAGAACUGUUUUUAUGUAAAAAUAAAAUGCUGUAUGACUAUUUUACAUUUUGAUACCUAGAGACAUUUAAAAUGUGUUCUGCCCUUAUUUGGAAACCAAUGUAAAUGUUUUUUUUAUUCAGCAAUUCUGUGUGUUGGUGUUAAUUGUAAAAAUAAAGAUACAAAAACA
Long non-coding RNA from Acipenser ruthenus (sterlet), 992 nucleotides. RefSeq lists it as uncharacterized. The record is from RefSeq and is a predicted model, not a curated record. Lineage: Eukaryota; Metazoa; Chordata; Actinopteri; Acipenseriformes; Acipenseridae. The transcript has 6 exons.